UUGCUGCCCAGGCGGGUGAGGAGGUGGAGGUGGAGGUGCGAGGCGGCGCCAUGUUAGUCACAGCCGCGCACCUGGAGGCGCCGGAAGCCAGGCUGAGGAGAUCCCUCCGGCCGGUUGUGAGCCGGCUGCGCGGCGGUGCGGCUGUGUUUGCCGCCCGGUUGGGAGAUUUCCAAGCUGAUUGCAGGCGUCUCUGGAGGCGUGCGUACGUGGCCAAGGUCCAGUGUGCCCCUGAAAUACCGGUGGCUUUGGGGUGAGGCGGGUGCAGGCAGUGUGGAGGAAGAAGCUGACUCUGGUAGCAGAGACGGGAGAGCCCAGAAGUGCAAGAAGCAGCUUUGUGAGCAGAGAAGGAGCCAGAGGAGGAAGGCCAGAAUCUGCCACUUGUAGCUACCACUGAGUGGAAGGUGGGCAUCAGUUGUGGAACACUUGGAUACUGCUGUGAAGAGUCUCACAGUAAGGAAAGACUGAGAAGUAACAGUUCCUGUAUUCUGUGAAGAGUGAAGUAUUUCAGUGAAGAAAAAAAGCAGAGAAUGAAAAGAAGCUUGAAGAGAACAAAAGAAGAUGAGCACUGUUAUGAACACAAGCUGAAGCUGAAGUCUUGCAAAGAGUGAAAGAGCAUCAGAAUGUAUAAUCGGACUAUUUUAUGGUGUGUGACGACAGCGACAUAAGGAGAUUUAUUUAUGUUUAUGUGGCAGUUUUCUGAUACCCGAUUCUGGUUAUGUUCUUCCAAUAUAGAUCUUUAAUAAUUAAAAGAAAUAUAUAUUUAUGUAGUACUAAUUUGUGUAUGAAGUAACAAAUGUUACUGUCGGGCUAAACUUUCUUUGGUUGUCUGAUACCAUUAAAUGAUUGGACCAGU
Long non-coding RNA from Tyto alba (common barn owl), 853 nucleotides. RefSeq lists it as uncharacterized. The transcript has 3 exons. Lineage: Eukaryota; Metazoa; Chordata; Aves; Strigiformes; Tytonidae. The record is from RefSeq and is a predicted model, not a curated record.